This 444-nucleotide ribosomal RNA is filed under the name uncultured bacterium. RNAcentral's name for it is "SSU rRNA". It matches the Rfam family "Bacterial small subunit ribosomal RNA", at positions 26 to 518 of the family's 1533-position model. The record is from RNAcentral.
AGAGCGAACGCUGGCGGCAGGCCUAACACAUGCAAGUCGAGCGCCCGUAGCAAUACGGGAGCGGCAGACGGGAUAGUAACACGUGGGAACGCGCCCUUCGGUUCGGAAUAACUCAGGGAAACUUGAGCUAAUACCGAAUACGCCCUUACGGGGAAAGAUUUAUUGCCGAAGGAACGGCCCGCGUCCGAUUAGCUAGUUGGUGAGGUAAUGGCUCACCAAGGCGACGAUCGGUAGCUGGUCUGAGAGGAUGACCAGCAUCACUGGGACUGAGACACGGCCCAGACUCCUACGGGAGGCAGCAGUGGGGAAUAUUGGACAAUGGGCGCAAGCCUGAUCCAGCCAUGCCGCGUGGAUGAUGAAGGCCUUAGGGUUGUAAAGUCCUUUUAACGGGAAGAUAAUGACGGUACCGUAGAAUAAGCCCGGCUAACUCGUGCCAGCAGCCGC